This 465-nucleotide ribosomal RNA is filed under the name uncultured soil bacterium. RNAcentral's name for it is "bacterial SSU rRNA". It matches the Rfam family "Bacterial small subunit ribosomal RNA", at positions 8 to 472 of the family's 1533-position model. The record is from RNAcentral.
AGAGUUUGAUCCUGGCUCAGAUUGAACGCUGGCGGCAUGCCUUACACAUGCAAGUCGAACGGCAGCGCGGGAGCAAUCCUGGCGGCGAGUGGCGAACGGGUGAGUAAUACAUCGGAACGUGCCCAAUCGUGGGGGAUAACGCAGCGAAAGCUGUGCUAAUACCGCAUACGAUCUACGGAUGAAAGCAGGGGACCCGCAAGGGCCUUGCGCGAAUGGAGCGGCCGAUGGCAGAUUAGGUAGUUGGUGGGGUAAAGGCUCACCAAGCCGACGAUCUGUAGCUGGUCUGAGAGGACGACCAGCCACACUGGGACUGAGACACGGCCCAGACUCCUACGGGAGGCAGCAGUGGGGAAUUUUGGACAAUGGGCGCAAGCCUGAUCCAGCCAUGCCGCGUGCAGGAUGAAGGCCUUCGGGUUGUAAACUGCUUUUGUACGGAACGAAAAGUCUCCUUUUAAUAAAGGGGGA